UACGAAGGGGGCUAGCGUUGCUCGGAAUUACUGGGCGUAAAGCGCACGUAGGCGGUUCUUUAAGUCGGAGGUGAAAUCCUGGAGCUCAACUCCAGAACUGCCUUCGAUACUGAAGAGCUCGAGUCCGGGAGAGGUGAGUGGAACUGCGAGUGUAGAGGUGAAAUUCGUAGAUAUUCGCAAGAACACCAGUGGCGAAGGCGGCUCACUGGCCCGGUACUGACGCUGAGGUGCGAAAGCGUGGGGAGCAAACAGG
This 253-nucleotide ribosomal RNA is filed under the name uncultured bacterium. RNAcentral describes it as "partial 16S ribosomal RNA". It matches the Rfam family "Bacterial small subunit ribosomal RNA", at positions 524 to 776 of the family's 1533-position model. The record is from RNAcentral.